GUAGACUCAUCAACUAUACCAGUCCUCUGUUCCUGGUCUCUGGAGCUUCAAUUUGGGAAAGUGACCCAUUAGCUUCUGAGGACCAGGGUGAGAGAGGGCAAACUUGAAUGCCCUUCACAAUGGAGAGAUGUGUGCAGACCGGACAGACAUCAGUUCCUUUAUCAGUGCACAGGUAGCUGCAAUAUGCUUCCUGGAAUCCUCUCUCAAAUAAACUGCUUGCCUCCAAAUCCUUGUCUCAGGCCUGCAUGUGGAGAGAUAAAACCCAGACAAAGAGGCAGACAUGAGCAGAUGAGCUCCCCCGAACAGGAGACAAGUGGGCUGAGAGGUGAAGGAAGAGGAUGAGCUCCAGCAGCCUAAGGGCUAUCCUCUGAAGCAGAGUCACAGAGCCGAGUGUAGCAAGAAAAGGCUCGGUGAUGCCUGGGGAGGCGACGCCGGCAGUCAGAAGAAUCCAAAGGAGCCUUGACAGCGUCACUGCAGACAAACCUGUCUCCACUGACUGCCCUACUCAGACUCUGCCUGUCUGUGGUGGCCCACUCUCCUCGGGGUGGAUCGGCCUAAGAGUUUCAUUAAAAUCAAGGGGACGGGGAUUGUGGGUAGUGUUGGGACCCAGUAAAGCCCUGGGCUUAAUGGAUCAGAACCAAAACCCCAGCUCCACAUGGGCAGCCCUCAGUUUUCAUGGGUCAGCCCUUUCUGAGAAACCCAGCCAGGGAGGAGCACAGGACCAGCAGCAGGGGAUGCUUCUAAACCCAUAUCUCACUGGAUAAGCUCAUCACCUUCCAAGCCUCUGAAGAACAUUUACGUUCCUAUAAGUUUCUGAAGCCACGUUCAAAUCGUAGCUCUACCACCAAUGAGCUGCACGUUGGAGGGGAAGUGAAUUCACCCCAGACCUGAGUUCCACAUCCCUAGACUGGGUGAGAGGGCCUCUGCCCAGGCUCUCCAUGAGGAUGACCUGCACCGUGUGCCUUUAAUGCACUUAGAACAGCAGGUGCCUCAGUAAACGCUCACUGCCAUUCUGCGAUCAUUAUUGCAUUCACUUCCUGGGGCUGCUGCAACAAAGUACCACACCCUGGGGGCGAAAACAACAGACCCUGACCGUGCCGAUGCUGGAAGUCUGAGAUCAAGGUGUGGGCAGGGCUGGUUCCUUCCGAGGACUGUGAGGAAGACUGUUCCACGCCUCUCUGCAGCUCCGGGUGGUUUGCAGGCAACCUUUCCAUUGCUGGCUUUGCAGACACAUCACCCAGUCUCUGCCCUCAUGUUCACAUGGCUCUCUCCCUGUGUGUGUGUGUCUGCGUCCCAGCCUCCCCUGUUUAUAAGGACAUAGUGGCAUUACAUGACUACUAUUACUCUGAUAGGGCCUCAUCUUAACUAACUACAUCUGCAAAUAACCCAUUGCCACAUAAGGUAGCAUUCUGAAGUACUAGGGGCUAGGACAUCAACAUAGGAAUUUGGGGAGCACAUAAUUCAACCCAUGAUAAUGAUUAUCGUGAUUAUUAUUAAGAAUAUAUAACCACUGUAGGAUGAAAGCAAAUACUGUAAAAUCCUACUCAUAGGUUUGCAGGGAUUAAAUGGCAUCACUGGAAAAUUGUCUGACACAAAGAAGGGGUUCAACAAAUGUUGUUUUACUUCCUCACUGUCAGCCUAAAUAUAGAAAGUAUUUGCUCAUUGGCCCGACAGACAAGUUUUGACUUCUAGUUUUAUACCAGCUUUAUGUAUACAUGCUUAUAUGUCGUAUGUGACAUUUUGUACAUAUAAACAUUAGUUCUGCCUUCUAAUGCUAUUUUGAAAUCACCUUUCCCUUGUUAAAGUGUUCUUUUGAAAUUAUAUAAAAUAGCUGAAUAGUAUUUUAAAGCCAAAAUGCUACAAUUUACUUGCCAUGUUUUAUAAUUUGCUUACAUUCAGAUGGUGUACCAUCUUGUGUUCUGUUAUGAAAUAGCACAACCAUGCAUAAAUGACCCUGCCAUCCUACCCCUAGAACUUUAUUUACCAUGAAAUGCCUCCACGUACUUUCAUUUGCAUGUCUUGAGAACUGAACCGUAGACCCCUCUUCCCUGUCAGUGUUGACCAUCGAUAUUUCCUCCCACAUGUGGCUUCUGUUUCUGUCUCUGGGCAGAUUUAUUCUAACCUGCCCUCAAAUCUGUAAGAAGAUUGUUCAUUCCCUAGGGCUAGUCCAAGUCUCCUGGCCUGGUGCUUACUUCAAAUUCACCUAAAUCUGGCAUAAAAGCUUUCAGGACAAGGUGGAUCAAACUGCGCCCUUGUGUGAGUACUCCCUGGACAGAAUGUCUGGUUAUCUUCGGUGUAAGUUAUUUCCCAUGACUCACAAAUAGAAAUCAGGAGAGGAGGGAGGUAGGAGGUGCAAGCCUCUGCAGCUGUCUGGAGAGUCAGCAAAAGGGAGACAGAAUCUUUAGUUACUUCACAUGUGUGACAAUACGCCUAUGUUUUGUUUUAUGUUGUUUAUUUCUUAUGUAACAUUGUUGAGUUAUCAAAUGAAGUGGUGUAUAAAAAUGUCAAAUAAACAGGUUCUCUCCCUUU
This 2529-nucleotide long non-coding RNA is filed under the name Homo sapiens (human). RNAcentral's name for it is "long intergenic non-protein coding RNA 1747". Lineage: Eukaryota; Metazoa; Chordata; Mammalia; Primates; Hominidae. The record is from RNAcentral.